CAAGCCGCUUCCCCUUUCCCCACUCGACAUCAACACGCAGCAGCCCAGCGGCCCCGCACUAUCGAGCACCCGCCCGAAGCCGGCAAGCGAUCGGAGCCAAGAACGCUCGGCGACGGCGACAGGAAGGCGCCGGCCCUGGCAGGGAUGCGUCCCCGCGCGCCUGCCCCAAAAAUCAACCCCUGCACCUCUUGACCACAGCAAGCCCCCGCGACUCAGCCAAAGAAAAGAAAACCCAGAUCUGCGCAGCUUGGCGGAGCGGGGAGGAGAGCAGGGGCGGGCGGUAGGGUACCUCGGUCGACGGCGGCUCGACGCCGGGAGCUGCCGGAAGGUUGUACGGCGGGGAAGGAAGCCGGGUAGGCAGGGCGAGGAGGAAGCGGCGCUGAAAAGGGAAGGGAGGGAGGGAGGGAGCCAGAUGCGCGGACAGACGGACGGGCGGGGCAGUGAAGUCGUCACCGUCUACCACCACGGACGGCACCACCCCCACCCCACCCCACACGGGUGCAAAGCAG
Molecule: long non-coding RNA, 509 nt
Filed under: Triticum aestivum (bread wheat)
Lineage: Eukaryota; Viridiplantae; Streptophyta; Magnoliopsida; Poales; Poaceae
Description: long non-coding RNA (TAES_LNC004028)
Source: RNAcentral